This 71-nucleotide transfer RNA is filed under the name Mazama americana (red brocket). RNAcentral describes it as "tRNA-Tyr". It matches the Rfam family "tRNA". Rfam says of the family: Transfer RNA (tRNA) molecules are approximately 80 nucleotides in length. The record is from RNAcentral. Lineage: Eukaryota; Metazoa; Chordata; Mammalia; Artiodactyla; Cervidae.
GGUAAAAUGGCUGAGUAAAGCAUUAGACUGUAAAUCUAAAGACAGAGGUUUUAUACCCCUCUUUUUACCAA